CAGUAGCCACGGGAAUACGGAGGGUGCAAGCGUUAAUCGGAAUUACUGGGCGUAAAGCGUGCGUAGGCGGUUCGUUAAGUCUGUUGUGAAAGCCCCGGGCUCAACCUGGGAAUGGCAAUGGAUACUGGCGAGCUAGAGUGUGUCAGAGGAUGGUGGAAUUCCCGGCGUAGCGGUGAAAUGCGUAGAGAUCGGGAGGAACAUCAGUGGCGAAGGCGGCCAUCUGGGACAACACUGACGCUGAGGCACGAAAGCGUGGGGAGCAAACAGGAUUAGAUACCCGCGUAGUCCCUGUCUCUUAUAC
Molecule: ribosomal RNA, 301 nt
Filed under: uncultured bacterium
Lineage: Bacteria
Description: partial 16S ribosomal RNA
Rfam family: Bacterial small subunit ribosomal RNA
Source: RNAcentral